This 228-nucleotide non-coding RNA is filed under the name Anaerotignum propionicum DSM 1682. Lineage: Bacteria; Bacillati; Bacillota; Clostridia; Lachnospirales; Anaerotignaceae. The record is from RNAcentral.
GAAACCCCGUCCGAUAAGGUGAAGCCCCACCAUCGGUAGCAAGCCUAGAGUAUGUUUCUGGUAACAGGGCAUGCAAAGCAAAGGGAGUUAGGUAGCAGGGUCAAAAGGCAGUUUAGCUUCGAAAUUUGUGGAUGGUUCAGAGUGCCGACGCCGUCAACAUAGCGGAAGGCAACACGCAGAUAUUCGUCAAAGGGUUAGAUAUCUGAGGCUCUGCGGAGUUAGAAGUCA